CCUACGGGAGGCAGCAGUGAGGAAUUUUCCGCAAUGGGCGGAAGCCUGACGGAGCAAUACCGCGUGAAGGAAGAAGGCCCGUGGGUCGUAAACUUCUUUUCUUAAGGAAGAAUCAAUGACGGUACUUAAGGAAUAAGCACCGGCUAACUCUGUGCCAGCAGCCGCGGUAAU
Molecule: ribosomal RNA, 171 nt
Filed under: uncultured bacterium
Lineage: Bacteria
Description: partial 16S ribosomal RNA
Rfam family: Bacterial small subunit ribosomal RNA
Source: RNAcentral